AUAUAUAACCCUACCAGACAGUAUACACCUUAAAAUUAUGUUCAAAUAUAUUAAAUCUAUUGCAUAUAGCAUUUAUAUAUUGUAUAUAUAUAUAUAUAAAAAAUGACUGCGAAAACUUAACCUUGCUCACUGAUCUAGAUCCGACUUACCAAAUAUAGUUUUCCUAUUUCUCAUAUUCAUAUGACAAAAAUACAUACAGGGUUGAAGCAGUCGCUGAACUACGAAAAUUUGGGCAGACACAAUGAACAUAUGAAACUGCGUAGCGUAGUCAUGCUAAUGCAUAUAUACUUGUGCAAAAAGGUAUGAAGCAUCCAGGGAUUUUUUAUAUACUGAAAUAUAAAACUUCAUACGAAUAGUUUAGCACACCUACAGCAUGUAUGUCUCGCAUUAUGCUGUUUUGUGGAAAGAGAUAAAAAUUGUGCCAAAUAUGUAUACUAAGUCACAGUGCUAUCACAAUAAAACAAUUCGUGUGGUUUUUUUUAUAUUUUGUUACACGAAAUACCGUAAGGAUUAGUCAAAUCGUUUUGGCAUUUUUUUAUUAAACUUUUUGCCAAGGAAAUUAAUUUAAUUGAUAUAGUUUUCUUAACGUACAGUGGCGAAUAUUUCAUUCCUAUUCGAAAGGAAAAUAAACGUUCUUUAAGGUGCAGAGAGAGAGAGACAGAGAUAAAAUUGAGAAUGGAAAUGGGGAAUGUGCCAAAGAGACAACAACCCGACCAUAGAAAAAAAACAACAGCAGAAGGUCACCAACAGGUCUUCAAUGUAGCGAAAAAUUCCCGCACCCGGAGGCGUCCUUCAGCUGGCCCCUAAACAAAUAUAUACUAGUUCAAUGAUAAUGAACGCCAUCCUAAUUUCCAAAUUGUACACAAGAAACUAAAAUUAAAAUAACGCAAGACUAACAAAGGCCAGAGGCUCCUGACUUGGGGACAGGCGCAAAAAUGCGGGGUUAAACAUGUUUGUGAGAUCUCAACCCUCCCCCUAUACCUCGAGCCAAGUAGAAAAGUAAACGCAUAACAAUACGCACAUUAAAAUUCAGUUCAAGAGAAGUCCGAGUCUGAUGUCAGAAGAUGUAACCAAAGAAAAUAAACAAAAUGACAAUAAUACAUAAAUAACAACAGACUACUACAUGUAGCAGUUAACUGACAUGCCAGCUCCUGACUUCAAUUAAACUGACUGAAAGAUUAUGAUUUCAUCAUAUGAAUAUCAGGC
This 1206-nucleotide long non-coding RNA is filed under the name Mytilus galloprovincialis (Mediterranean mussel). The record is from RNAcentral. Lineage: Eukaryota; Metazoa; Mollusca; Bivalvia; Mytilida; Mytilidae.